GAGUUUGAUUCUGGCUCAGGACGAACGCUGGCGGCGUGCCUAACACAUGCAAGUCGAACGGAGAUUUUAUUUCGGUAAAAUCUUAGUGGCGAACGGGUGAGUAACGCGUAGGCAACCUGCCCCACAGCCGGGGACAACUUUCCGAAAGGGAGGCUAAUACCGGAUACGAACGAGGUAUCGCAUGAUACGUGGUUGAAAGAUGGCCUCUGCAAGCAAGCUAUCGCUGAGGGAUGGGCCUGCGUCCGAUUAGCUGGUUGGUGAGGUAAGGGCUCACCAAGGCGACGAUCGGUAGCCGGUCUGAGAGGAUGAACGGCCACAUUGGGACUGAGACACGGCCCAGACUCCUACGGGAGGCAGCAGUGGGGAAUCUUCCGCAAUGGACGCAAGUCUGACGGAGCAACGCCGCGUGAGGGAGGAAGUUUUUCGGAACGUAAACCUCUGUUGUUCAUGACGAACGAGCUUUUUAUUAACAACGAAGAGCCAUGACGUA
RNAcentral lists this ribosomal RNA (490 nucleotides) under Veillonellaceae bacterium canine oral taxon 211. Its description in RNAcentral is "bacterial SSU rRNA". It matches the Rfam family "Bacterial small subunit ribosomal RNA", at positions 9 to 476 of the family's 1533-position model. The record is from RNAcentral. Lineage: Bacteria; Bacillati; Bacillota; Negativicutes; Veillonellales; Veillonellaceae.